GGGCUCGAUUCAGCAGCAUAUAUACUAAAGCUGGAGCAACACAAAGAAGAUUAACAUGGACCCUGUGCAAGGUUGACACACAAAUCCAUGAAGCAUUCCAUAUUUUA
Small nuclear RNA from Meriones unguiculatus (Mongolian gerbil), 107 nucleotides. The record is from Ensembl. NCBI's taxonomy places the organism in Eukaryota, Metazoa, Chordata, Mammalia, Rodentia, Muridae.